AAUCAACGCUGGCGGCGUGCCUAACACAUGCAAGUCGAACGCGAAAGUCCCGCAAGGGAUUAGUAGAGUGGCAAACGGGUGAGUAACACGUGGGUGACCUGCCUUCGAGUGGGGGAUAACGUCCCGAAAGGGACGCUAAUACCGCAUAACAUCCUGCCUUUGAACAGGUGGAGAUCAAAGCUGGGGACCGUAAGGCCUGGCGCUGGAAGAGGGGCCCGCGUCUGAUUAGCAGUUGGUGAGGUAACGGCUCACCAAGGCAACGAUCAGUAUCCGGCCUGAGAGGGCGGACGGACACACUGGGACUGAGACACGGCCCAGACUCCUACGGGAGGCAGCAGUGGGAAUUGUUCGCAAUGGGCGCAAGCCUGACGACGCAACGCCGCGUGGAGGAUGAAGACCU
Molecule: ribosomal RNA, 400 nt
Filed under: uncultured bacterium
Lineage: Bacteria
Description: bacterial SSU rRNA
Rfam family: Bacterial small subunit ribosomal RNA
Source: RNAcentral